RNAcentral lists this ribosomal RNA (253 nucleotides) under uncultured bacterium. RNAcentral describes it as "partial 16S ribosomal RNA". It matches the Rfam family "Bacterial small subunit ribosomal RNA", at positions 524 to 776 of the family's 1533-position model. The record is from RNAcentral.
UACGUAGGGUGCAAGCGUUGUCCGGAAUUAUUGGGCGUAAAGAGCUCGUAGGCGGCCUGUCGCGUCGGCUGUGAAAACCCGGGGCUCAACCCCGGGCCUGCAGUCGAUACGGGCAGGCUAGAGUCCGGCAGGGGAGACUGGAAUUCCUGGUGUAGCGGUGAAAUGCGCAGAUAUCAGGAGGAACACCGGUGGCGAAGGCGGGUCUCUGGGCCGAUACUGACGCUGAGGAGCGAAAGCGUGGGGAGCAAACAGG